UACGUAGGGGGCAAGCGUUGUCCGGAAUCAUUGGGCGUAAAGAGCGUGUAGGCGGUCCGAUAAGUCGGCUGUGAAAGUCAAGGGCUCAACCCUUGAAUGCCGGCCAAUACUGUCGGGCUAGAGUCCGGAAGAGGCGAGUGGAAUUCCUGGUGUAGCGGUGAAAUGCGCAGAUAUCAGGAGGAACACCAAUGGCGAAGGCAGCUCGCUGGGACGGUACUGACGCUGAGACGCGAAAGCGUGGGGAGCAAACAGG
RNAcentral lists this ribosomal RNA (253 nucleotides) under uncultured bacterium. RNAcentral describes it as "partial 16S ribosomal RNA". It matches the Rfam family "Bacterial small subunit ribosomal RNA", at positions 524 to 776 of the family's 1533-position model. The record is from RNAcentral.